AUAUAUAUAUAUAUAUAUAUGUAAAGAAUAUAAUGAUCUGACUCUCCUCUUGAAGUCAUAUAGUUUGCCUUCCUUUAAGAGAAGAUAUAGGAGGUUUUUGUUGGAUGAUACAUUCCAUGGUUGAUUCUGUGAGGGUAUAGGUACGCAUCAGGGCCCCUUUUUCCCGAUUUUUUUUCUCUGUUUCAUUAUGUUUGGCUUCACUUGAUGAUUAUGAUUUUUUGUGGUUACUCUAUUUCAAAUUCAAUAUAUAUUUUCAGCUCUAGAGUGUGAUUUUUGUUGAUUUUUCUGUGAAAUCUAAUAGUUCCUGGGAACUUACUCAUAAUCUGUUCAUACUGUCGAAAGUAUCCCUUUUGCAGACAGUAUGUAUUUCUUUUUUCUUGUUUCGUUUUAUAUAGAUAUUAUGAUGUAUCAUAAUUUGUAAAUUCUACAAAUAAGUAUUUACCUAAUUACUUACUUACUGGCACUGGCUCAGUGCAAAGUUUGGAAGAACUUUUAGAGAAAUUAAUUGACAAUAAGCCAGCAUAAUUAGAACACAAUGUAGGACAGAUUGCAAAUGAUUUUAUGAUAGGAAAAUUUACUGGCAGAAAUUUAAAUGCAAAUCAAUGGAUUGGAGAUUUCAAUAAAUAAUGUGACCGUUUUCAAAUCAAUGAGGGCAAAAAGACAAUUAAAAUUUUAAAAUAUUUUUUGCAAUAUUCCGGUGCAAAUUGGUACAUGUUAGAAUAUUACUUCAUCCGAACAAAUUACGAGAGACAACCAACAUUACAUUCUACCCAUUCGUAGUAUUACUUCAUCUCACCACCGCGGCGUUGCGAAGUGACGAGGCCAUCGAGGGCUAUCGAGAGAAAAAACAAGAAUAGAUCUUCAAUGAUCAAGAGCGAAUGACAGAGGUCUAACCUAAGAGAUGAGACUCUUCGACAUCGAGCUUUGCUCGGAGAGAGACAUACUAGAGAUUAUAUUAAACUAUAAAACCUAAACGGUGUAUUAGUGAAUCCUCUGCAAAACCUAUAAAUCCAACAAGUUAUAGGCUCCAGUGCACGCUUAACUGCGCAACGAGGUGAACACUAAUUCUGAAAAUCUGUUGUGUACACAACGGGAAAAAUAUCAAUUGAGGUAAGUUGAAUUUCAACUUAAUCACGAGGCUAGAGGUAUUUUAUUUAGUUCAGUGAAUAAAAAUGAUUUAUUUCAUAUUCAUUGCUGAAAUAGAGAAUUCCUAUUAUACAGUAUUUACGGUAUUCGGAAAUAAUGUGUUUACCUAUCUAUCAGGGAAGGAAUCAACUUUGAUUCUUAACGGUUAUUGGCCGUUGAUGCUUAGGGAAAUGAGAUACUUUACUAUACACAUGUUUUAUAGAUUUAGAUGAUGUGAAUUUGGAGACUUCACAUUCAUCAUUUAGAGAGAUUCAGAUGAUAUGAAUGUAGAGAUUUCACAUUAAUCAUUUACGAGAGAUGUCACAUCCACCGUUUGAGAGAUUUAGGUGAUGUACAUAAGUCAUUUGAGAUGUAAAUGUAGAGAUUUUACAUAUUCAUCGUCAACGAGAGAUGUCACAUCCACCGUUUGAGAGAUUUAGGUGAUGUACAUACAUCAUUUGAGAGGUUUAGAUGAGAACAUUUUAGAGUUUCACUUAAACCAUUCAGAGGUUGAGAUUAUGUUAACUUUAGAGAUUUGGCUAACAUACUGUCUUUUUUAGAUUAGAUAAUGUUAGAGAUUUCACAUACAACACCUAGAAGUUUGGAUGUAGAUUUAGAGAUUAUACAUACAUCGCUUGGAGCAUGUGAAAUUGGAUAUUUCACAUUCCACAUACAUAACCCAGAGAUUCAGAUAUUUUGAGAGAAUAGAUUCAUCAUACUUGUUGAAAAAUUUGGAGAAUUAUUUAUUUCACUAAACUACAAGAACUGCAGUAUGGUAAGAUUUGUGAUAAUCAAUAUUUCAGGGCUUCUUUCAUACAAUGCUUACUGUGCCGUGUUGUUUGUUUGUAAGCUAGGGAUAUUAGAGGAUUCAAAUAUUCAUCCCGUACAUGUACAAUGGCCAUACCUAACGCAACAGGUAUUCAUUGCAGUGCGUGAUACCACUUUUGAAGUAAGGUGUACAUGUACGAGGUGGUGCUGCUUGAAAACUUGAUAGUCCUGUUUCGAAUUGUAUCAGAUCGCUGUGCGUAUGAGGCAAUUCAGAAGCAGGAAACAAAAUUUUAUAUCUUAUAUAUGGUAGUAGAUGUUGAUGUACUAAGAGAGCAUAUAAUGCACAAAAAUCUUAAAAUACAUAAUAUGAAUAUUUUUGUUUCAUUAAUCCUGAAAUUGAAAUGGCAGCCAAUGGAAAUCAAACAAAAACCAUUGGUGAAUUAAGAUUCAGAUUCCAUCAUUUCCGUAAGUGCAGAAGAUAGACGUUUCAUGCAAUACGAGGAAAGAGAGAAUUGUCAGAACCAAUAUAAGUCCGUUUCGUACAAUCAAUAAUUGCCAUUUCCUUGAUUUUAGCUGACUAGAGCAGUAUCAAUGAGUGAUACCUAAGAGACUAGAUGAAAGAUGCUAGAGAAAUUUUAGAGACAUUAGACGAAACCCCCUUUCGAGAUAUUAGAGAUCUGGGAGACGAGAAAUUGUCGACAUUAGAGUUAUGAGAAUAUUAGAGAUUUAGAGUAUUAGAAAACCCAGAGGUCAUAAGAAAUGAGAGAAUAUUUUCCUGGGAUUAAAUUCUAGAGUAGUAGAAAACCUAGGUUUUCAAAAAUCAAUUCAUAUUACAGAGAGAAUUAUUCAAAUUCGAAAUCUGGAUCGACAGUCUAAGAUCUGAGCUUUUUGAUGAAUGAUUUGUUGGACGUCAUAGAGCCAAGUACGAGUAACCAAACUUGAUCAGAGGCCAAGAAAUCCGAGAGAAGUAAUUGGGUACGAGACAUUAUCAUAAACAGAAAUGAGGAGAAUUAUCACAAGAAAAUUCUCAAUAUCCGAGACCCUGUUGAAGUAAAUAGAGGUUUGAGGUUCUCCACGAAGUGCAGUCAAAUGUGACACACACUUCAGAGCAACGAUAAGCGAAGAAGAUGAGAUGAGCUUACUAUCGCAGACACAUUCCAAUAACGAGUUAUUAGGUUCAGAGGGAGAACCGGAAUCUGCGAUUGGGAGGGAGAAAGAGUAUAAUCUCAUCUCUUCAUCUAAAGAGAAAGUUUUACAAGUUUCAACUGACAAAACAGAUGAAACACAAUCUGAGCAACAAGAGAAAAAUUGGGAUUGCAGUCAUAUCAGUAGAAAUGUAAUUUAGAUCGAUGACUUGGAAUCACUCCAAAACUUAGUGUCAGUCUUUAUGUUAAUUAAGUUGUUCAAUUUAUUAACCGUUUACUCAAUUUGUACAGUUUUAGUCAUUUUGAAUUUUCUAUUGGUUGAUUAUGUAAAUUGUCAUUUUUAGAAUUGGAAUAUAUUCCAA
Harmonia axyridis is the source of this 3400-nucleotide long non-coding RNA. RefSeq lists it as uncharacterized. The record is from RefSeq and is a predicted model, not a curated record. The transcript has 4 exons. Lineage: Eukaryota; Metazoa; Arthropoda; Insecta; Coleoptera; Coccinellidae.